UACAGAGGGUGCGAGCGUUAAUCGGAAUUACUGGGCGUAAAGCGCACGUAGUCGGCUUUGCAAGUCGGUUGUGAAAUCCCCGGGCUCAACCUGGGAACUGCAUCCGAGACUGCAUUGCUAGAGUAUGGGAGAGGAAAGCGGAAUUUCUGGUGUAGCAGUGAAAUGCGUAGAUAUCAGAAGGAACAUCAGUGGCGAAGGCGACUUCCUGGACCAAUACUGACGCUCAUGUGCGAAAGCGUGGGGAGCAAACAGG
This 253-nucleotide ribosomal RNA is filed under the name uncultured bacterium. Its description in RNAcentral is "partial 16S ribosomal RNA". It matches the Rfam family "Bacterial small subunit ribosomal RNA", at positions 524 to 776 of the family's 1533-position model. The record is from RNAcentral.